UGAUGCGAUCAUACCAGCACUAAAGCACCGGAUCCCAUUAGAACUCCGAAGUUAAGCGUGCUUGGGCGAGAGUAGUACUAGGAUGGGUGACCUCCUCGGAAGUCCUCGUGUUGCAUUCC
RNAcentral lists this ribosomal RNA (119 nucleotides) under Triticum aestivum (bread wheat). The record is from RNAcentral. Lineage: Eukaryota; Viridiplantae; Streptophyta; Magnoliopsida; Poales; Poaceae.